AGCUCGAUGGUGAAAUGGAAAUCAUCCCUCGCUUCGAACGAGGGGUUCCGGGUUCGACUCCCGGUUGAGCUGC
Molecule: transfer RNA, 73 nt
Filed under: Anatilimnocola aggregata
Lineage: Bacteria; Pseudomonadati; Planctomycetota; Planctomycetia; Pirellulales; Pirellulaceae
Description: Planctomycetes bacterium ETA_A8 tRNA-Arg
Rfam family: tRNA
About the family: Transfer RNA (tRNA) molecules are approximately 80 nucleotides in length.
Source: RNAcentral